This 505-nucleotide ribosomal RNA is filed under the name uncultured bacterium. RNAcentral's name for it is "partial 16S ribosomal RNA". It matches the Rfam family "Bacterial small subunit ribosomal RNA", at positions 28 to 507 of the family's 1533-position model. The record is from RNAcentral.
GACGAACGCUGGCGGCGUGCCUAAUACAUGCCAGUAGAACGCACAGUUUAUACCGUAGCUUGCUACACCAUAAACUGUGAGUUGCGAACGGGUGAGUAACGCGUAGGUAACCUGCCUGGUAGCGGGGGAUAACUAUUGGAAACGAUAGCUAAUACCGCAUCAUAUUGAUUAUUGCAUGAUAAUUGAUUGAAAGAUGCUAUUGCAUCACUACCAGAUGGACCUGCGUUGUAUUAGCUAGUAGGUGAGGUAACGGCUCACCUAGGCGACGAUACAUAGCCGACCUGAGAGGGUGAUCGGCCACACUGGGACUGAGACACGGCCCAGACUCCUACGGGAGGCAGCAGUAGGGAAUCUUCGGCAAUGGACGAAAGUCUGACCGAGCAACGCCGCGUGAGCGAAGAAGGGUUUCGGAUCGUAAAGCUCUGUUGUAAGAGAAGAACGGGUGUGAGAGUGGAAAGUUCACACUGUGACGGUAUCUUACCAGAAAGGGACGGCUAACUACGUG